UUUACAUGACCUACUUAAACUGAGUUUAAGUGUACAUACUUAAACUCAGUUUAUAUUACCUACUUAAACUAAGUUUACAUGUACAUAUUUAAACUGAGAUUACGUAGAAUCAUUGAACAAUAUUGAACUUUUAGAUGUAGAUUUAAACUCAUUUUACAUUGCCUACUUAAACUGAGAUUACAUGAUCUACUUUAACUAAGUUUAAGUAUGUACACUUAAACUAAGUUUACAUGACCUAUUUAAACUAAAUUUACAUUAUUUAUAUUGAAACGAAUUUUACAAAGGAAACAAUUUUCUAAAUAAAAUCUAAAGAAAAGUCUAUUCACCCUCUAGAGUCCCAUAUUCUAUUUGAAGUUUGAAGCAUAAGGGUCAACAU
Molecule: long non-coding RNA, 376 nt
Filed under: Medicago truncatula (barrel medic)
Lineage: Eukaryota; Viridiplantae; Streptophyta; Magnoliopsida; Fabales; Fabaceae
Description: long non-coding RNA (MTRU_LNC003069)
Source: RNAcentral